Non-coding RNA from Podarcis lilfordi (Lilford's wall lizard), 75 nucleotides. The record is from the annotation of a GenBank genome assembly. NCBI's taxonomy places the organism in Eukaryota, Metazoa, Chordata, Lepidosauria, Squamata, Lacertidae.
AUCCCUUUGGUGCAAAUGGGUCAGUUCGUCUGGCUGUUAACCAGAAGGUUGGUGGUUCAAGCCCACCCAGGAACG